RNAcentral lists this ribosomal RNA (253 nucleotides) under uncultured bacterium. RNAcentral describes it as "partial 16S ribosomal RNA". It matches the Rfam family "Bacterial small subunit ribosomal RNA", at positions 524 to 776 of the family's 1533-position model. The record is from RNAcentral.
UACGUAGGGUGCAAGCAUUAAUCGGAUUUAUUGGGCGUAAAGGGCGCGUAGGCGGGGAUGCAAGUCAGAUGUGAAAUCCCGGAGCUCAACCCCGGAACAGCAUUUGAAACUACAUUUCUAGAGGGCAGGCGGAGAAAACGGAAUUCCACAAGUAGCGGUGAAAUGCGUAGAUAUGUGGAAGAACACCAGUGGCGAAGGCGGUUUUCUAGUUUAUACCUGACGCUGAGGCGCGAGAGCAAGGGGAGCAAACAGG